UUCCGUCUAGGGCAGCAUCGCUAUCUUCAGCCUUCUCACGGUUAAGACCGCGUACGUGCGCCCCGUAAGAACCAGCCUCACGGCGGAAA
Molecule: transfer RNA, 89 nt
Filed under: Leeuwenhoekiella blandensis MED217
Lineage: Bacteria; Pseudomonadati; Bacteroidota; Flavobacteriia; Flavobacteriales; Flavobacteriaceae
Description: tRNA-Glu
Source: RNAcentral